UCAGACUCUGUGUUGAUUGAUGA
RNAcentral lists this non-coding RNA (23 nucleotides) under Arabidopsis thaliana (thale cress). Lineage: Eukaryota; Viridiplantae; Streptophyta; Magnoliopsida; Brassicales; Brassicaceae. The record is from RNAcentral.